AUGGUUCCAUCAUUCUCUCUGUACCAACUGAAGAGAC
This 37-nucleotide small RNA is filed under the name Arabidopsis thaliana (thale cress). RNAcentral's name for it is "ATSL119390". Lineage: Eukaryota; Viridiplantae; Streptophyta; Magnoliopsida; Brassicales; Brassicaceae. The record is from RNAcentral.